ACGAAAUGGUGAUACAAAGGAAGGAUUCACUUGAGUGGCGGAGGUCAAAUGCCUAUGGAAUUGCACCCCAAGAUAUGGACAAACUGCCUACUCCUAGCAGCAAGAGACCAUCCUAAAUUAUAUAGAUCUGUGAUUGAAGAUGUUAUUAAUGAUGUGAGAGACAUCUUUUUGGAUGAUGGAGUGGAUGAACAAGUCCUGAUGGAACUAAAAACUUUAUGGGAGAAUAAACUAAUGCAGUCUAGGGCAGUAGAUGGAUUUCAUUCAGAAGAGCAACAACUUUUAUUGCAAGUUCAACAGCAGCAUCAACCCCAGCAGCAGCAACACCACCACCACCACCACCAUCAGCAAACUCAACCUCAGCAGACAGUACCUCAGCAAGCACAGACCCAGCAGGUUCUUAUUCCUGCAUCACAGCAAGCCACAGCACCACAAGUUAUUGUUCCUGAUUCAAAGCUUAUACAGCAUAUGAAUGCAUCAAACAUGAGUGCUGCUGCUACAGCUGCUACCUUGGCACUCCCUGCAGGUGUGACUCCUGUUCAACAGAUAUUAACAAAUUCAGGCCAGCUUCUUCAGGUGGUCAGAGCAGCCAAUGGUGCCCAAUAUAUCUUUCAGCCUCAGCAGUCAGUGGUUCUGCAACAGCAGGUUAUUCCACAAAUGCAGCCUGGUGGAGUACAAGCUCCUGUUAUACAACAGGUUCUUGCCCCUCUUCCUGGAGGGAUUACACCACAGACUGGUGUUAUCAUCCAGCCUCAGCAAAUAUUAUUUACAGGAAAUAAGACUCAAGUUAUACCUACAACAGUGGCAGCGCCCACACCAGCACAAGCACAGAUAACUGCAGCUGGCCAGCAGCAACCACAGGCCCAGGCUGCUCAACAGCAAGCUCCAUUGGUAUUACAAGUUGAUGGAACUGGGGAUACCUCAUCUGAAGAAGAUGAAGACGAAGAAGAAGACUAUGAUGAUGAUGAAGAGGAGGAUAAAGAGAAAGAUGGAGCUGAAGAUGGACAGGUAGAAGAAAAAUUUGCACCAUAUCUUUCAUCUCUGACACAGUUGAGGAACCCCUCAAUAGUGAAGAUGAUGUGAGUGAUGAGGAAGGACAGGAACUCUUUGACACAGAAAAUGUUGUUGUAUGCCAAUACGAUAAGAUACACAGAAGUAAAAACAAAUGGAAAUUUCAUCUCAAGGAUGGUAUUAUGAAUCUUAAUGGAAGAGAUUAUAUAUUUUCCAAAGCCAUUGGAGAUGCUGAAUGGUGAAGAGUUGCUUCUUUCUUUUAUAAAUAAAAGAAACUUUAAAAAAAAGUUUAAAGUGAACAGUUUGAAACUUGGGACAAACACCAACCAAAACUUCAUUUCUGCAUGUCAGAAAAGUGCAGUAGAAGCAAAGCUACUGGAACAAAGAUAGACCUUGACAACAUAGACACUACUUCUAACUGGCAAGCCAUGGAACUGUAGCACCUGGGGUUGUUGGGGUGGGGGGGUUGGGGUUUUGUGUAGGAAAACCAUAAUUGUCAAUUUUAAAUACAGGAACUUGCCACCGGUAAUUAGCAUGUAAAGCUUUGUCUCUAUUCCUUCCUCCAACUUGGGCUCAAUCAGAAGAGUCUUCUUGGAAUGAACUGAAGAAACUUCCCUUUUGAUAGAUUGAACUGAAACUGCUUAUUGUAUGUGGUUAUAUUUGGUAAAAAUUGUGUGUGAGCUUUUUACAAAAGGGUAAGAAUUAUGGUGUUGAAUUUUAAUUCACUUGUAUAAGAAAACAAUUUAAAAUUCUCAUAAUAGGUCUUAAAUAUUUUUACUUGUUAUUUUCCCUUGGUAAUAUAUAACUCUUCCUUCCCUGCUUUAUGAAACAUCUAAGAUAUAAGGAAGUAAUCAGUAAUCACAGUUUAGAGACAAAAUUGACCCAGGAAUGGAUAUUUAUUUUAAUUAGGUUUUCAUACUUAUUAAAUGUAAUUUUAAAACUUGGGUCUUAUCUGAAUUGUGUGGAAUUAAAAUGACAACUUCAAUUUCCUUACAGAAAAACUGUGUAACCCUUUAAAAAGAAAUUCCAAAUUGGCUCCUCAGGAACACAUUUUUAUUUUACAAAGGUACCAUCUAGCUAAAAUUGUAUAUACAUGGAUAUAUGAAGAUUUUUCUUGUUUGGCUGAAGUGUGUGCUUAUAUAUGCAUUUAGUCUUUAAGGUAAACAUUCAGAUAACAUUCUGUAUAUUGAUUGAAGCAUAAAGGGCAGGUGGUGAGGACCUGGAUUUUUAUUAAACAUUUUAGUAAUUAUAAAAGUUUCUUGUGUUUACUAGUAAAGAAUUUAAAAACCUAUUAUUUUAUUUGAACAAAUUUUUUAAAAGUAACUUUGUAAUUUGAGGGGAAGUUUUGGGGGGUUGAGGGAGGUGGGCAACUAAUAAAUAAGUACAUAUUUACCUCUCUUGCAUUGGGUGGCCUAGAAGGGCCAUUGAUAAUAUAGACUUGGGCUCCAGUUUGCACAUUGGAAAGAAACAUAGAAAUUUGACUUGUAUAUUAAAAAUAAUAGAACUUUAAUAUGUAUUUAAGAAUGCAUAGCUCUGUAUUUCUCUAAGGGGCUCUAAAGAACAAUAUGGCACUGCCAUCUGUGUGAAUCAGCUGCCUGGGAGACCUGUAGGAACAUUCACCUUCACUUUUGUGUUCUAAUAAUUAAUUCAACUUUUCAUGGUUUUUCUUAACAAAAUUCACAUGUUUAAUAAGUUACUGGUAUAUUGAUUUUUUUUUUGUCUUCCAUUGUUGUCUUCCCUUCAUUUGCCUUUAUGUGUUUCCAGAACUAACAGAUAAACACUUUAAAGUACUUUACAAAGGAGAAAACUGUGAGCAAUUAUAGUGUUUAUUUUUUUUAAAAAAACAUAUCUUUACAUUUCUCAAAAGGUUAAUCAACUUUUUUUUUUUUUUUUUUUUUUUGCCUACUUCUCACCCCACUUCCAACUUGGUCUCUUUUAACUUUUGUUCUGAAUUUUGGUAUAAAUGGUGAUGUCUGGCAUUCUAGUAGUUAGGUUUUAUUUAGAUGCCAUAACUGGUAAUAGAGUUUUUAUUUUGACUAUUAAUUUAGCUUUUUUUGAGGGGAAAUUUGUUUACCCCACUACUCUCAAAGCACACACAGGUUUUUUAUUUUAUUUUUACUUAUAAGUAAGACUAGAAUGGAGGGAGUAAAAUCAUAGAAGUCCUGUUAGUGUCCUUUUCAGUAUAGUUAUUAGGAGGCUUAUGUUUACUCAAUGAAGAAGUCAAUGACCUGAACUACCUAUAAAAGUUUAGCAGUGCUGCAGUGUUGCUUAAGUAAAACUCUUUAACGUAUCUAGUAGUUCUUAUACUACUGAAACUUUGAUUACUGUAUGAUGUUCAGCUCAUGUCUUGGGCCCUCUUUGUAGACAAAUAUUCAUAGUAGCAUUGUAUACUGGCCUAUUUUUAUAAUUAUAUUUGCAAACAUGAACAACCACUGCUUUCAGAAUGACUCACUGGAGUUAUUUUGAAGCAGGAAAUAACCAGUUGUAUUUGCACCUGUAUAUUGCAUAUGAAUUAUGAUAUACUUGGCAAAUGCUUUUCUUCUACCUGUGAAAAUUCUGAAAGCUGGUCCAAACAACACUGCAUACCAAAUUGUGCUCUUAUGUAUUAUUGCAUCGUGUUUCUUUUUAAUCAAAUAGCUUGCUUUAUUUUUUAUUAUAGUGGCUUUUGCUAUAUGAAUGUCACUUGCUUUGAAUUUUUAAUCAUGCUUUUAACAUUAUUUAACAAAUCAUUUCAUUAGGUUCCGUUAAAAUGUCAUUCCUUUGAAAAGGCAAGGGAUUCCCACUUUCAGAGUUUUUAAAUGAAAGUAUCUUUAUCCAAAGGGGAAAAAUCAUUCAGACUUCAUAAUAACCAUUGCUUAUUCAGAAGAGAAUUUGUUUAGAUUUGCACAGAUGGUGAUGAUGGCACUUUUUACUCAAAAAACAAAAGUGCUAUGGAAAAUUUACAGAAAAUUACUGAAGUGUGGAAGUAUAUCCUUUUGGCAUACAAGUCUUGUUGGAUGGUCAUUUGUAUGAUCUGGUCACUUGAAUGCCUGAUAGCACAUUUAAUUUCUGUAGAGCGCUGCAUGUGGCUAAAACAACUCUUCAAUGUGCAAUUCGAUUCUAGAUUAAAAUGUCUGUUAUAUGAGGGGGAUCUUUAUAUUAAGCUUUUAUAUUUUUUGAGAUGUUAACAUUUAUGUUAAUUAAAUGUCAUCAUAAUUUGCACUGUUGGCUUUUUAAAAAUCAAAGUCACUAAUGUUGUAUAAUUACAACAAGAUUUGAGCAUUGUGUCUAGUGAUUAAAAUAUGUUCUUGACCAGCAAAAUAGAUUCUGGUUUUAGAAAAUAUAAAAAUAUAAUAGCUUUUGUAUAAAGGUUGUCUUUUGCUAUAGUGAAAGUCAAGGAUUUUUUUUUCCUGGCUCUUAUGAAGGGAUUAAAAAGAAUGGUCUCCCUCUAAAAGUAAUUUUUUAUUAUCAUAGCAAUAAUUCACUAUUAUUAGAGGGAAAAUAUUCCUUGUAUAGGAAAACAGACAAUUUCUUCUUGGGAGUUCCCUUUAUAACUUUAGUAUUUUCUUUCACUUGAGAAAAUUCCUAUAUUUUCAGAUUAUUUCAUUUUGAGCUUUUUUGAGCUUUUGUGCAAUGUAAUAUUUUAUUGAUAUGUCUUUGUAUAUUUUCAUUUCAUAAUGUCUGUCUCCCACCUACGUGUCUGAAUCAGCUAUAGCAAAUUUUGAAUUUCUGGUUAAAAAGUAGUUGUUUUAUAUGUUUCCUCAUGGGUUUGUUAGUUUUGCAUUUUAAUCAUCUAUUAUGCUAAAUUACUCUUGAGGUUUAUACACUUCCCUUUUGAAUCCUGCCUUAGUCUAUCAUUAUUUUUCUGUGAUUUAAGAAGAACAGAUCAAACUAUUUUUGUUUAUUUUGAGGAACAAACUUUUUUCCUUCUCUUUUAGAGAAUUAUAUUGUGUUACUAACUACUCUCUCCUUUAGUCAGAUUUCCUUAAAUCAGUCCAGUAUACACAGGGCUACACCUUGGGGGGGAGGAACUAAUCUUUUUGCUGUUCUGAGCUACUAUUGUCAACUGCUGUUGUACAUACUGUUAUGUGUAAGGGCGUAAAUAUAUUUAUUAUGUUUGUAAAAUUCAUUCUGUACAAUUGCAGAUCAAGGUUGCUCUUCUGUGAUAAAUGGGAUAUUAUGUUUUAAAGACCCAUCUUGGAAUACAAUUAGAGAACUUAGUAUUUUCAUGUACUAAGACCUAUUUUAAGUUUAAUAUUUUACCUUUGCAAAACUUUAAUUAAAGAUGUUAUUUAAAAAAGUAA
This is a non-coding RNA of Ictidomys tridecemlineatus (thirteen-lined ground squirrel), 5291 nucleotides long. NCBI's taxonomy places the organism in Eukaryota, Metazoa, Chordata, Mammalia, Rodentia, Sciuridae. The record is from RefSeq and is a predicted model, not a curated record.